CUGAUCUUCCUGAACUAGUGCAGGCAGGCAGUUAUUUGGUGGCUAGAGCAAGUACUGAAAGUCAGGUGACUCCUGACUCUGCAAAGGAACCUCUCUGGGGCCAUGAUGUCACCAUCAGUUUACUCCUCUGUAAAAGAGGGAUACUGCUACUUAUUUUUGUAACAAGCUUUUUGGGAUCCUCUGAAAGGUGACCUUUGAGAGAAAUGGAGGCCUGAGAUGAGUAAAGGGCCACUAUUGGUAUUAAAUUGGAGAAUAUACCAGUGCUACUACAUCCAACACUGCAAGUAAAGGAGGAGACAGAAAACGGAUUGACUGCAACAAAAAAGUCCCUGUUGAUCCUGCUCAGAAAAUUGCAAAGGAAUAAGGGCAAAGGGAGUAAGAAAAGACAUCCACCCAUCUGUACAUAGGUCCAUGGAAAUUGUGAGGUAUGUAGGCUGUGUCCCUGUGUCCCCACCCUGAGAAUGCAAACGCCUCUCCCCUGGAGAAGAAGACGGCUCCAACUCCAUGAAGCGAACUCCUGAGUUUUCAAAUGUGUCUCUCCCACACUCACCUUUGGUGCUUCCCACAGGAAGAGCCAUUAGUCCCUUUUAAAGCUGCAAUUGAAUAUGAAUGUUCCCUCAGAUUAUUUAAAAAACCAGAAUAUGUUACCUAAAGAGUCUCACUGCUCAAAUGUUAUCAGGUUGGAUGGAUUUAUAAAAUGAAGAUAGGAUAGUUAUAUGGGCAGAACUUAAAACUUUUUAAUAUACUGCCAAGCCCCUCCCUAGAAAGGCUCCCUCACUUUACAAGGUCUUUCUCAAAAUUUGACCCAAAAAUGUCUUACAUUUUAAAAAAAUAACAUUUUAAAAACCUGAAACGUAAGGCCUAAAACCCCAAGAUGUUUUGUAUUGAUACGUCAUUUGCCCCCAUUACCUACAACUGUUCUUAUUACUUGCAGUUAAUAGUCUAGUUGAGGGGAGA
Long non-coding RNA from Dermochelys coriacea (leatherback sea turtle), 957 nucleotides. RefSeq lists it as uncharacterized. The transcript is spliced from 3 exons. The record is from RefSeq and is a predicted model, not a curated record. NCBI's taxonomy places the organism in Eukaryota, Metazoa, Chordata, Testudines, Dermochelyidae.